This 253-nucleotide ribosomal RNA is filed under the name uncultured bacterium. RNAcentral describes it as "partial 16S ribosomal RNA". It matches the Rfam family "Bacterial small subunit ribosomal RNA", at positions 524 to 776 of the family's 1533-position model. The record is from RNAcentral.
UACAGAGGGUGCAAGCGUUAAUCGGAAUUACUGGGCGUAAAGCGUGCGCAGGCGGUUUUGUAAGUCUGUCGUGAAAUCCCCGGGCUCAACCUGGGAAUUGCGAUGGAGACUGCAAGGCUAGAAUCUGGCAGAGGGGGGUAGAAUUCCACGUGUAGCAGUGAAAUGCGUAGAUAUGCGGAGGAACACCGAUGGCGAAGGCAAUCCCCUGGGCCUGCACUGACGCUCAUGCACGAAAGCGUGGGGAGCAAACAGG